Long non-coding RNA from Cylas formicarius (sweet potato weevil), 596 nucleotides. RefSeq lists it as uncharacterized. The transcript is spliced from 3 exons. Lineage: Eukaryota; Metazoa; Arthropoda; Insecta; Coleoptera; Brentidae. The record is from RefSeq and is a predicted model, not a curated record.
UGAUAAAUAGUCUGCGAGAGCGCGGAGAACGUGAUAUUUGCAAGUUCGGGUCUACGUAUAUUUGCACCGAGUAAUUUUAACGUUUUACAAUUUCGAAUACAGAGCCAUGCACUAUUUAUCGAAUGUUGCUCAUGAACUACCAAAAUUUUUGCAAAAAAAGGAAGGAUAGAAAACCGCUGGUAUGUUACCAUUGCGAAUUCAGAUGACUGGUAAGGACCUAUCACGAUUGUUAUUAUUAUAUUAUUUAUGAUAUAAAUAAUUUCACAAUAGGUGCAAUAUUUCCAAAGGCGUAAUAAAAAUAAAUGUAGCCCGUAACCUCUGCGGCCAAACAAACUAAAAUGAAAGCUUCCCGUCUUUGCUUCUUCUUAACGUUCAGGCAAUUACUAAAUUACCACGAGGCAACUAACGGAACCGACAAAAACUAGUCUAUAUCAGACGAUCCGCUGAGCAAACUACUUAAAGUUAAUUUCGUAAUAUAUUUCAAUAAAAGUUUUGCUCCCCGAAAAGUUUCACCGAAACUUGGAAGCGAUAGAAUGUCUGUCGUCGUUGAAAAGGAAAAUCCAGUUCCGGCUCAUUAAUUUAAACUGUGACGCACA